UGGGGAAUAUUGGACAAUGGGGGCAACCCUGAUCCAGCCAUGCCGCGUGAGUGACGAAGGCCUUAGGGUUGUAAAGCUCUUUCACCGGUGACGAUAGUGACGGUAGCCGGAGAAGAAGCCCCGGCUAACUCCGUGCCAGCAGCCGCGGUAAGACGGAGGGGGCUAGCGUUGUUCGGAAUCACUGGGCGUAAAGCGCGCGUAGGCGGCUGAUCAAGUUGGGCGUGAAAGCCCGGGGCUCAACCCCGGAAAUGCGCCCAAAACUGAUCGGCUAGAGACCGAGAGAGGGUGGUGGAAUUCCCAGUGUAGAGGUGAAAUUCGUAGAUAUUGGGAAGAACACCAGUGGCGAAGGCGGCCACCUGGCUCGGUUCUGACGCUGAGGCGCGAAAGCGUGGGGAGCAA
This 399-nucleotide ribosomal RNA is filed under the name uncultured bacterium. Its description in RNAcentral is "bacterial SSU rRNA". It matches the Rfam family "Bacterial small subunit ribosomal RNA", at positions 355 to 771 of the family's 1533-position model. The record is from RNAcentral.